CACCGCGGUUAUACGAGAGGCCCAAGUUGAUGAAUUCCGGCGUAAAGAGUGGUUAAGCUAAAAUUAAAACUAAAGCCGAACGCCCCCAAAGCUGUUAUACGCAUCCGGAGGUGAGAAGUUCAACCACGAAGGUGGCUUUAUUUAACCUGAACCCACGAAAGCUACGGUA
Molecule: ribosomal RNA, 169 nt
Filed under: Gasterosteus nipponicus
Lineage: Eukaryota; Metazoa; Chordata; Actinopteri; Perciformes; Gasterosteidae
Description: partial 12S rRNA
Source: RNAcentral